CGCGCCUUGUCUACCUGAGUCCCGCCUCCCCGCCUCAAAUCCGUGCUCUGCGCGCGCGGGCGUCGGCCGCGUGGAUCCCGCUGCGUGUUGGAAAAGAUAGUAAUCUAGAAACAGGCCUUCACCAGCAAGUGUAAAGAUAAUAGGUGUAGACAGUGUCUCUUGACUUUAAAAGAUGAAGAUAGCAGCAUCUCCACCCUUUCAGCUGUGUACACGCCCUUGGGUCGCUGGAAAGCUCUGGGUUGUGGGCCCUGCUCCUGGCGGGGCUUGACGCAGAUGACGGACAUUGAAUGGUCGCGGGGGCCAAGAUGAAGUCUCAUUCUCGUCCUCACCAGCCUGGUCCCAAGAGAACCAGCCUCAAGGGAAAUUAGGAUGGUCCUGACCUGUCCUUAAAUAAAACCAGAAAGACUCUCACCUGUCCGUAAAAAAGUGAAGAAGGGAUAUUUUUCUGGCAAGAUGUUCAUUUAUUCAUUUAUUCAAAAAUUUUUUAAAAAAUUGUUUUUGGUUAUUUUCUUGGGAGAAGGGAUUAAUUAGGUUUGUUUAUUUAUUUAUUCGUUCAUUCAUUCA
This is a non-coding RNA of Vicugna pacos (alpaca), 564 nucleotides long. The record is from RefSeq and is a predicted model, not a curated record. NCBI's taxonomy places the organism in Eukaryota, Metazoa, Chordata, Mammalia, Artiodactyla, Camelidae.